CAGUAGCCACGGUAAUACAGAGGGUGCGAGCGUUAAUCGGAUUUACUGGGCGUAAAGCGUGCGUAGGCGGCUAAUUGAGUCGGAUGUGAAAUCCCCGAGCUUAACUUGGGAAUUGCAUUCGAUACUGGUUAGCUAGAGUGUGGGAGAGGAUGGUAGAAUUCCAGGUGUAGCGGUGAAAUGCGUAGAGAUCUGGAGGAAUACCGAUGGCGAAGGCAGCCAUCUGGCCUAACACUGACGCUGAGGUACGAAAGCAUGGGGAGCAAACAGGAUUAGAUACCCCAGUAGUCCCUGUCUCUUAUAA
RNAcentral lists this ribosomal RNA (301 nucleotides) under uncultured bacterium. RNAcentral describes it as "partial 16S ribosomal RNA". It matches the Rfam family "Bacterial small subunit ribosomal RNA", at positions 509 to 809 of the family's 1533-position model. The record is from RNAcentral.